GAUCAUGGCUCAGGAUGAACGCUAGCGACAGGCUUAACACAUGCAAGUCGAGGGGCAGCACAGGGUAGCAAUACUUGGGUGGCGACCGGCGCACGGGGUGAGUAACGCGUAUGCAACUUACCUAUCAGAGGGGGGAUAGCCCGGCGAAAGUCGGAUUAAUACCCCAUGAAACAGGGGUCCCGGCAUGGGAAUAUUUGUUUAAAGUAAUUCUAUCGCUGAUAGAUAGGCAUGCGUCCCUACUUAAGG
This 246-nucleotide ribosomal RNA is filed under the name uncultured bacterium. RNAcentral describes it as "partial 16S ribosomal RNA". It matches the Rfam family "Bacterial small subunit ribosomal RNA", at positions 15 to 250 of the family's 1533-position model. The record is from RNAcentral.